Molecule: transfer RNA, 27 nt
Filed under: Mastixia euonymoides
Lineage: Eukaryota; Viridiplantae; Streptophyta; Magnoliopsida; Cornales; Nyssaceae
Description: partial tRNA-Phe
Source: RNAcentral
UGCAUCGGGAAUGGUCGGGAUAGCUCA